UACGUAGGGUGCGAGCGUUGUCCGGAAUUAUUGGGCGUAAAGGGCUCGUAGGCGGUCUGUUGCGUCGGGAGUGAAAACUCAGGGCUUAACCCUGAGCCUGCUUUCGAUACGGGCAGACUGGAGGUAUGCAGGGGAGAACGGAAUUCCUGGUGUAGCGGUGAAAUGCGCAGAUAUCAGGAGGAACACCGGUGGCGAAGGCGGUUCUCUGGGCAUGUCCUGACGCUGAGGAGCAAAAGUGUGGGGAGCGAACAGG
This 253-nucleotide ribosomal RNA is filed under the name uncultured bacterium. Its description in RNAcentral is "partial 16S ribosomal RNA". It matches the Rfam family "Bacterial small subunit ribosomal RNA", at positions 524 to 776 of the family's 1533-position model. The record is from RNAcentral.